GUUUCGGUACAAAAAGUGCACAGUUCUGUUUCACUAUAUUUACACUUCAUUAGUAAAGUAUUUGUUCCUAGAAUUCUAUGGAGUAAUCUGUAUUGAAAUGCCCUUAAUGUGGGAUCUUCAGUUAUAAUUAAAGGAAGACUAAAAAAAUAAUUCCAUUCUUCGGCCACAAUAUCUAUUCCCAAUUUCAUUUUCCAUUUCUCUUGUAUGCGUGAUGGGGUUUCCUUUAUUUUAUCUAGAAAAAAUUUAUACAAAUGUUUUGAUACUUUAUCAACUGUUUUAAUGGCGGUAACAAUUUUGUGACUGACAGUAUUUAGUUUGAUAAAUACUUGAGAAUGAAUAACAUUCUUCCAUUCCUUUGGCAGUGCCAAGAUUAGUCCAUAGAAAUCUAAGAAAGUUGUUUUUAUAUUAUAAUUUCUAAUAAAUUCAUCAUAAUUGUAAAAUUCUCCAUUUUCCUUAAUGAGAUCAUUUAUGAAAAAUACAUUAUUC
This 486-nucleotide long non-coding RNA is filed under the name Mytilus galloprovincialis (Mediterranean mussel). The record is from RNAcentral. Lineage: Eukaryota; Metazoa; Mollusca; Bivalvia; Mytilida; Mytilidae.